GCGGGUGUAGCAUAGUGGUAAUGUUCCAGCCUUCCAAGCUGGCCACACGGGUUCGAUUCCCGUCACCCGCU
Molecule: transfer RNA, 71 nt
Filed under: Lentisphaerota bacterium
Lineage: Bacteria; Pseudomonadati; Lentisphaerota
Description: Lentisphaerae bacterium (anaerobic digester metagenome) tRNA-Gly
Rfam family: tRNA
About the family: Transfer RNA (tRNA) molecules are approximately 80 nucleotides in length. Their secondary structure includes four short double-helical elements and three loops (D, anti-codon, and T loops).
Source: RNAcentral